CGACCGGCGCACGGGUGAGUAACGCGUAUCCAACCUGCCUUUACUAUGGGACAGCCCGUCGAAAGGCGGAUUAAUACCGUAUGUUGUCAUGUUGAUGCAUAUUUUCAUGCCAAAGGCUUCGGCCGGUAAAGGAUGGGGAUGCGUCUGAUUAGCUUGCCGGCGGGGUAACGGCCCACCGGGGCGACGAUCAGUAGGGGUUCUGAGAGGAAGGUCCCCCACACUGGUACUGAGACACGGACCAGACUCCUACGGGAGGCAGCAG
Molecule: ribosomal RNA, 262 nt
Filed under: uncultured bacterium
Lineage: Bacteria
Description: partial 16S ribosomal RNA
Rfam family: Bacterial small subunit ribosomal RNA
Source: RNAcentral